Molecule: unclassified non-coding RNA, 2724 nt
Filed under: Leishmania donovani
Lineage: Eukaryota; Euglenozoa; Kinetoplastea; Trypanosomatida; Trypanosomatidae
Description: gene:LdHU3.05.0940(CDS-product:zinc-finger_of_a_C 2HC-type_putative)
Source: RNAcentral
GAGCAAGCUUGAACUCAAGUGUGAGAAAGAGCAACUCUGUGUCGGUGUGCGUAGAAGCUGUCCCACCUUCCCAGCAGAGCCCCCCACCCACCCUUGGCUGUCCUACGACUGGAUCCACGAACAUCAGCCACAGCGAGCCGUGUACCCCCUUCCCCCUCCUCCCUCUCUGCGAUUCAGCAGUUUGUAUAAGCACGCAUACAGCGCGUGUCUCAUGCCUGCCGGUGCGAACUCGCGAACGCCGGCGACGGACUUCGUCCAGGACUACGCGGCGAAGCGGCAGGCGCAGAUGGAGCGGGCACGGCAGCUGCGUGAGGACCGCCUUCAGCAGCAGCAGCAGCGUCAGUCGUCCCCCCAAAAAAGCGGCGGUGGAAAUGCCUACAACUCCUCCCCGAAAUACACGGCGGUGCCCUCCGCCAGUGGCGGCGGCACAGCAACAGCGGCGCCGACUUCGCGUCAGCCCCCACCGCCGUCGCUCAACAUGCCGCGCUCCCGCCACGUCACCCCGGGUCACGGUAGCGCCGACAGCGGCUCCUCUCCUGGGAAAUGCGGGGAUGGAUGUGUUCUCUACAUCAAAGAGCAGGACUUCAAGCAGGCCACGCAAGCCGGCAUUAUCACUCCCGACCAGGCGCGCCAGUUGUGGGCGAUGCUGUCGAAUCAGAUCAUCCGCGUGUGCUCGCCGUCGGCGCACGCAAACGCCGUGUCUGUGAGCAGCCUGCUGGCACUGUCGAAUAACUCCUACAACUCCUCUGGUCGGGCGGCCGGCGGCCCUCAGUCGACUGGCGGCAGUGAGUUCGGCGCCAGCAUUUCAUUGGAGUCGCUGCGGACCAGCAUCGCGUACUUCAAGCGGGAGCAGCAACGGCUGCAGCAGCAGGGCGGUGGUGGCGCGGCCGGCGCAGCCCCCGGCUCUAACGCCCAGGGCCGCCACCCGCUGUCCUCUUCGUCGCCAGCACUCAGUAACACAGCGGGGCAGCCCUUGUCGCAGUCGCGUGGCCUGCCCCAACGUCAGUUGCAGUACGACGGCAACGCCAACAGUGACUAUUACCGGAACGACGGCGCCGCCAACGACGACGAGCAGCGAGCACUUGGCGCACCAAUGCCGCUGCGCGGUAGCGGUGGCGGUGGCGGUCGUGGUGGUCGUCCAGCUUGGAACUCAGAUGUGGAGGUGCGUCACGAGGACGACUACGACGACGAUCGUAACCGUCACGCGCCAUCGUCGAUGCCGACAAUGAGCAGCGGCGCGGCGGCGCUCAAGAAGCCGCGGACGGGGAGGACUAGCACGGUGAGGCCGGCUGUCAAGGGUCCCGCCGCAUCGUCAUCGCCGGCUGCUGGUGCUAGUGGUGUUUUUGGCACCUCUGCCCAAGGGGGCGUGGGACAGGGAGGCGGCGGCUAUGGAAACGACGACGAAGAGGCAAGCAACAACAUGUACAUGCCGCCGCAGCCCUCCUCCGCCGUGCCUCGAGGCGCCAAGGCCAGUGGCUCAGGUGCUGCUAGUCGGCGCCCCCCUGCAAGCCGUCUGACGGCACCACCGCCCUCGUCUGGCGCACCCGUGAACCUGGAUGAAGUGCCCGUCGGCGGCGGCGGCGGUGGUGGCGGCAUGAACGACUGGGCCAACGCCUAUCCACCCGGUAUGGUGCCACCGACGAGCACCGGUGGCAACGACGCAAUCGCUGCCGAGGCGGCGGCGGUAGCGCAGGAGCCGAUGCAAGAGUGCCGCACCUGUGGCCGCAGAUUUCGUAUAUCGGUGGUCAUGCGGCACGAGGCGCUGUGUCGCAAUCAGGCGAACAAGCCGCGGAAGGUCUUCAACAUGCGCGAGCAGCGACUGGAGGGUGUCGAGGGGAUCAAGGAGGUGCAGCGGACAGCGGCACGGAGCGGUGGUGGUGGUGGCGGUCGCGGUGUCGGUGGCGGUGGCGGACGCGGCGGUGGCGGCGACGCAGCAACAGGGGCGGCCAAGGGCAAGCUCCCCAAGUGGAAGGUUCAGCACGAGCAGUUCCAGGCUGCGAUGCGAGCGGUUCGCCAGCAAAAGGAGGCCGGAGGUGGCUUCGGAUUCGGGCAGAUGGCACCGCCGCCUGCCCCGAUUCCGGAGGAGUAUGAUGAUCGCGUCCCGUGCCCGCAUUGCGGGCGCAAGUUUGCCCAAGAGGUGGCGGCCCGGCACAUUCCAAAGUGCGCGACGACCAUUGCGAAGCCCAAGGGGAUCCGCCCGAUUCGCCGAUGACGAAGUUGGGAUGAGGUAAGGCACCGCAAGAGAAGGUCCCGUGAAAGACGACAAUAAAACCCCACCCGCUGCCCCCAGUACACUUACAGGGGGUGUGUGCGUGUGGGUGUGGGUGUAUCAUCUGGCGUGUAGGUGCGCGCUCGUCUGUCUCCCCCCCCCACUCUCUAAGUGUGUGUGUGUGUGUGUGUGUGUGUGUGUGGGAAUGGGAUGAGGUGGGGGAGGGGAGCACUAGAAGCAUGGCAGGGAUGUCACACAGAUGGGUGGGGAUGAGGAGGAGAUGGUCGCCGUCGUUGGCCUUCUGCUUUUGCUGGCAUUGUGCUCCCUCUCGCGCUCUCGCAACCCCCCUCUUCUCCUCAUGUCCGUCUCCGUGACACGCAUGAAACAUGCAUAUCUGUAUCGCUUGCUCUUGGCGUUAUUGGCGUUGGCGUUGUUACGGGGUGGCUGUGGUUAAGACGCUUUUCGCCGCGUUAGAUAUUUCCGUCUUCUUCCUCGUGUACAUGUGUUGGCACUUC